AUACGUAGGGGGCGAGCGUUGUCCGGAAUGAUUGGGCGUAAAGGGCGCGUAGGCGGCCCGGUAAGUCUGGAGUGAAAGUCCUGUUUUUAAGAUGGGAAUUGCUUUGGAUACUGUCGGGCUUGAGUGCAGGAGAGGUAAGUGGAAUUCCCAGUGUAGCGGUGAAAUGCGUAGAGAUUGGGAGGAACACCAGUGGCGAAGGCGACUGACUGGACUGUAACUGACGCUGAGGCGCGAAAGUGUGGGGAGCAAACAGGAUUAGAUACCCUGGUAGUCCACACUGUAAACGAUGAAUGCUAGGUGUAGGGGGUAUCGACCCCUUCUGUGCCGCAGUCAACACAAUAAGCAUUCCGCCUGGGGAGUACGGCCGCAAGGUUGAAACUCAAAUGAAUUGACGGGG
This 397-nucleotide ribosomal RNA is filed under the name uncultured bacterium. RNAcentral describes it as "partial 16S ribosomal RNA". It matches the Rfam family "Bacterial small subunit ribosomal RNA", at positions 523 to 918 of the family's 1533-position model. The record is from RNAcentral.